This 425-nucleotide ribosomal RNA is filed under the name uncultured bacterium. RNAcentral's name for it is "partial 16S ribosomal RNA". It matches the Rfam family "Bacterial small subunit ribosomal RNA", at positions 354 to 796 of the family's 1533-position model. The record is from RNAcentral.
GUGGGGAAUCUUGCGCAAUGGGCGAAAGCCUGACGCAGCCAUGCCGCGUGAAUGAUGAAGGUCUUAGGAUUGUAAAAUUCUUUCACCGGGGACGAUAAUGACGGUACCCGGAGAAGAAGCUCCCGCUAACUUCGUGCCAGCAGCCGCGGUAAUACGAAGGGGGCUAGCGUUGCUCGGAAUUACUGGGCGUAAAGGGCGCGUAGGCGGACAGCUUAGUCAGAGGUGAAAGCCCAGGGCUCAACCUUGGAAUUGCCGUUGAUACUGGAUGUCUUGAGUUUGGGAGAGGUGAGUGGAACUCCGAGUGUAGAGGUGAAAUUCGUAGAUAUUCGGAAGAACACCAGUGGCGAAGGCGACUCACUGGCCCAAUACUGACGCUGAGGCGCGAAAGCGUGGGGAGCAAACAGGAUUAGAUACCCGGGUAGUCC